Molecule: long non-coding RNA, 2679 nt
Filed under: Sus scrofa (pig)
Lineage: Eukaryota; Metazoa; Chordata; Mammalia; Artiodactyla; Suidae
Description: lncMREF
Source: RNAcentral
GAGACUGUAAGUUCGGGUGCCCGCGGAGUGCUAAAUUUAUCUUCAGACAAGCGACCGCGCCAGCCGCGAAUCGGAUCCCUAUGGAGGUGGCAUAGGCGAUAUCCCAGAGCUGAGAGCAUCACCCGGCCCCCGAAUCCUUCUUUCCUCUAUUUUGUUUUUCAUUUUCCCUCCUCCUCCCUCUCCCCUUACCCUUUCCCCUUCCAGUCCGCGACGACUGGCUCUUGACCCUGUUCAGGCCUCUGUGAAGGCUCUUGGUUACUUCCCUUCUACCCAGUCCCUUAAAUUUAUUUUUUUGAAGAGUGCAUUUCAAGCUGCCAAGGUGGAGAGAGUGAUUGCAGAAGGGAGUGCUGCUCAAUUCAGAAAAGGUGUGCCUACCUGAAAGCACCAGGAAGUCGAAUGAGAGAUCACCUGAUACACGAACGUGUGAUGUUCCAUCUGCGCAUUGAUGCAUAGGCAACAUUUACAGAUUAACUAAUGUGUUCUAUAUAUCAUCUCUUUGAUGAUCGCUCAUCUUCUAUGUAUCCUGUCUUAUAAUUUCAACACAUUUGUGAUACUCAAUGUUUAUUCUAAAUUAACCAUGUUUUGUACCACAAAUACAUUGCCUAUGGAUCUGUUGCUGAAACAAGGAAGUCUUAAACAAGAAGUAGAAUCUUUUUGUUAUCAAAUUGUGUCUGAAUCAAAUGAUCAAAAGGUUGGAAUAUUACAGAGUGAAGAUGAGCAGUUGCAGCCUUCAGUUUCUAAAAAUUCAGAAAGUGAGCUUUCUAGGGUCAAAUUUAUGUCCAAUUCCAACAAAAUAACAACAUUUAGUAAGAAACCAAAAAGAAGAAAAUACGAUGAAAGUUACUUGUCUUUUGGAUUUACUUACUUUGGAAAUAGAGAUGCACCUCAUGCUCAGUGUGUGUUAUGUAAGAAAAUUUUAUCAAAUAGCUCUUUGGCCCCUAGUAAGCUUCGAAGACAUUUGGAAACCAAACAUGCUGCAUAUAAAGACAAAGACAUAAGUUUUUUCAAGCAACAUCUUGAUUCACCUGAAAAUAAUAAACCCCCAACACCUAAAAUUGUCAACACAGACAAUGAAAGUGCUACAGAAGCAUCAUACAAUGUAAGUUACCAUAUAGCUCUGAGUGGAGAGGCUCAUACUAUUGGAGAGUUGCUUAUCAAGCCUUGUGCAAAAGAUGUUGUGAUGCGGAUGUUUGACGAACAGUAUAGUAAAAAAAUAGAUGCAGUACAACUAUCAAACAGUACCGUUGCACGUCGAAUUAAAGAUCUAGCUGCUGACAUUGAAGAAGAGCUUGUUUGUAGACUGAAAAUUUGUGAUGGGUUUUCACUGCAACUAGAUGAAUCGGCUGAUGUUUCAGGACUUGCUGUGCUGCUUGUGUUUGUUCGUUACAGGUUUAAUAAGUCUAUUGAGGAAGACCUACUCUUAUGUGAAUCUUUGCAGAGUAAUGCCACUGGUGAAGAAAUUUUCAACUGCAUCAACAGUUUUAUGCAGAAACAUGAAAUUGAAUGGGAAAAAUGUGUUGAUGUUUGUAGUGAUGCUUCUAGGGCAAUGGACGGGAAAAUUGCUGAGGCUGUCACCUUGAUAAAAUAUGUGGCUCCCGAAAGCACCAGUAGUCACUGCCUAUUAUACAGACAUGCACUAGCAGUUAAAAUAAUGCCUACAUCUCUGAAAAAUGUGCUAGAUCAGGCAGUACAAAUCAUCAAUUAUAUCAAAGCUCGACCGCAUCAAUCCAGACUAUUAAAAAUUUUAUGUGAAGAGAUGGGUGCCCAGCACACAGCACUUCUUCUAAAUACAGAAGUGAGGUGGCUUUCCCGAGGUAAGGUUCUUGUAAGACUUUUUGAGCUUCGUCGUGAACUCUUGGUUUUCAUGGAUUCUGCGUUUCGACUGUCUGACUGUUUAACAAAUUCAUCUUGGCUGCUAAGACUUGCAUAUCUUGCAGAUAUUUUCACUAAAUUAAAUGAGGUUAAUAUGUCAAUGCAGGGAAAAAAUGUGACAGUUUUUACAGUAUUUGAUAAAAUGUCCUCACUAUUAAGAAAAUUGGAAUUUUGGGCCUCAUCUGUAGAAGAAGAAAACUUUGAUUGCUUUCCUACACUCAGUGACUUUUUGACUGAAAUCAAUUCCACAGUUGAUAAAGAUAUUUGCAGUGCCAUCGUGCAGCACCUAAGGGGUUUGCGCUCUACUCUGUUAAAAUAUUUUCCUGUAACAAAUGACAGUAAUGCUUGGGUUAGAAAUCCAUUUACAGUAACUGUUAAACCAACCUCAUUGGUAGCACGGGACUAUGAGAGCCUGAUUGAUUUAACAUCUGAUUCUCAAGUAAAACAAAAUUUCAGUGAACUUUCACUAAAUGACUUUUGGAGUAGCCUAAUUCAAGAGUACCCAGGCAUUGCCAGGCGUGCAGUUCGUGUACUUCUUCCUUUUGCUACAAUGCACCUCUGUGAAACAGGGUUUUCAUAUUAUGCUGCAACAAAAACGAAAUACAGGAAAAGACUUGAUGCUGCUCCUCAUAUGCGGAUCCGACUUAGCAACAUUACACCUAAUAUUAAGCGGAUAUGUGAUAAAAAGACACAAAAACACUGUUCUCAUUAAAAUUGGAAGGUUUUGCAUGUGUCUUGAUAACCAAAUAUAAGAUGAGAAUAAAAAUGAUUUACUCCAAAAAAAAAAAAAAAAAAAAAAAAAAAAAA